GCCUUCUACUUACUUGUUUGAUUCUUUGACUAGCUUCUUCAAUUCUGAUUUCCAGAGCUAUACCUCUGUCGAUGAUCGGUGCAUUUUCUUAGCUCUCUCAGCUCUCUCAAAACUAAACAAAACUUCCUUUCUUCCCUUUCUUCUUCAAUAGGAUAAGGAACAGGGCGAACGGAAGGAUACUCCAGCAGAACAGGAACUGCCCCUUCUGCUACAACAUCUUCUGCCCCGCCCAAUCCUUGAAACUUCACUCUUGUGCUUUUCUAUUUGGGACAGUAAACAUAGGCUCUUUCAUACCUGCCCUCUAUUGCUCCUAUAGUAGUCUAAGUUGUUAUUCUAAUACGAAGACGGGUUAACUAGUGACCAAUUCCAAUCUAAGUCAAAAGUGUAGUAAAACUAUGAUCCAACUGGGGGAGCUUCUUGCUUCGGUUCGGCAUCUAUCUUCUCUUUUCACUCAAAUGUUACUUCCUUACUCUCAACUCGAAGUUAAUCAAUGGAAUCCCUUGUUGGUGUGGGUAAGAUAGGUAGGUAGGCUGGCGAGGGAUGUUCUGAGUUUAGUUCGUAUAGCCCAGAUUCAUUCUGUUACUACUGAGUUUCAUUCUCACUUUGGAGUUUAGAGCGCAGUUACCCUCUGUUACUAGGCUCGGGUAGUUUACUUACUUGUGGAAUUCUUUCAUUCAGUAAGGAGAUACUAAGCGGUCUUCUUCAACAAAACUUUCUUAUCGAGCUAAGGGAGAGUCAAGUAAGUACUACCUAUUUGCAAUUGCCCUCUGAUAGGAGAGGUCGGGACUGGUCUUCAAGGGCAGUUUCGUCUUCAAGUCUUGUUUCGGGUGUUGGUGCUGCCACUGUUACAGUGAAUAAAGUCUGGUGAGAAGAGGUUUACUAUCAGAUUCAAUCAAUCUAUACUAAUCCAAAACCAAUGAAGGCUAGAUCCAAUUCUGUAACUUAUACUUCCAAUUUCACUUACGCCUUAACCGUGGGCAUUCAUUUGGUCUUCACAGUUUAAAGAGAAUCCGCAGCAGUUAAGAGAAUAAGAGGCUUAGCUCCAAUCUUUUCCUGAGGAACAAAAAGAACAAGUGUUAAUGCGAGUUCGGCGCAAGACUCAGUGUUGUUAGUAGGUGUAAGCAGGUCUUCAAGUUCAAGUUCAGAACAAGCUUAGGCGACUACAAGAUCUGCAUUAGCAAGAGGAGCAAGUGAGGAAGAAAUUGAUGUUUGAGUUUGAAGAGCAGGAGUAGAAUCAAGAUGAUAAGCAGGAUAAGAAUCUUCAUCAGGAACAGGAACUGGAGUUUGAGCAGGAGCAGGAAAGUCUCUCGGUGUUGGUACAUUUCUCAAUUAUAGAUGUAUAGGCAUCAGCUCAUAAAUGAAUCAAAGACUCUAAGCUCUCCAUCUGGCGUGAAAGCCUUGCCUUGCCUUAAACGAUAAAGAAGCAAGCCCUGUAGUGGUAGUCCCGGUAGUACUAGUGGAUUUCUGUUACUAUAGGGUACUCUACUAGUGAAUUCUUGUACUUAUGAGUGCCAUUCUCCCUUUCGGUAGGAGUGGUGGGCAAAGAAUAUCUUAUACUUAAUGAGUUAGAUGAGAGCCGUUACUUGCUUAGUUGACAGAACCAGAAUCGGAGGUAUACCGGAUUCCGGAGACGAACACUUUUCUAAUCAUAUAGGAGUAUUCCAACUGUUUUAAGUAAACACCAUUCUGAAGUUCCAUUCCAGGAUUCAAUAAGAACCAGAGCAGUACUACCAGGGGCGGGCAACCACUGAGGAAUAGAAGCUUUAUCGGAAGCAGGAAGUUAAGAGUUUCGUUCGGAUAGCCCUGGUUGACCCUUGACCCUUAAACUAGUAGUGUUGACCCUUGACCCUUAAACUAGUAGGCUUUCAGCACCUUCCCCACUGCUCGAAGUCAAGUAUUUCGUUUUUGUCUUUUUUCUGAACUUGUAAAUUCUAUCUUAUAAAUAAUAACAGAUCUCGGAAAGAGUAGAAGAUAGGCUCUUGCUUUUGUCUACUUAAGGGAGUUGCUAAGGUUAACUUCUCUAUUGACUACUUGCUUAACACAAGCAGAUGACCUAGACCUUUACGCCAUAGUACUACCGGUAUUCCACUAUAGCACCGACCUCUCCUCUUGCUACUUCUACUUCCAACCGAUAUCCGGUCUUCAACUCGUCAAUAAAACCCGGAAAACAACCUGCCGCGCAACUAACUAUGUUGCUUGCCCCACUGCUUUUUACUCUUCCCCGACCCGACCUCUUACCUAAGUAAACUAUACCUCAGGCUACAAAUACUGUUAUGACUCUGGACUCCUCUACUGCAGACUUGAUAACAACUGUCUUAAUUCUUAAAACACAUUGCAAGUAGGCGCCAAGUGACUCGUAUACACCUCUGGCUCAUCCAACUUCAUUCUUAUCCCAUGCCUCAUACCUUCAUUCUGACUUGCUUCCGUAUCAAAGCCGCCAAGCAACGACUACAAAAACAGCCUUUUUCCCAGGAGUCGGAAGUAGAGCAGAAGCGGCAGUUACAAGAUCAGAAGCGGCUUUAUCAUCUCUAAUCUAACACCCAGCAAGCCUACCUGACCUCUCAACAGGACCAGACCUAUACUUGAAGACGAAGGAAAAGGAGCAUUUCUCUCUCUUCUCUUACCUAGCGCCCGACCUCUCCUCUAACUCUUCACUCUUGCUCAUCUACUUCUCCUCUGAUCUUGCUCCAAAGAAGCUCUUAACUACUCUACUACACCUCUUGCUCAUAACAAUUCCUUUCCCCUUUGGAGUAAGUAGCUAGGGUCUUCUACAGGCUGGGGAGCAAAGUAAUAAGGCUUGGGGUCCACUAAGUCUAUUAUGAUUAGUAAUGUUAUAAGCUUGAUUAGUGGAAGUACUAGUUUGGAGCAAGUCAAAAGCAAGGCGCAUAGGCAGUAAAAGGGCUGUUUAGGUAUCAGUCAAGUCAGAAUAAAAGGUAAUCAGCUAAAGGUUUCAAGUGAGUAUUAGCAUUCUUUUCUCAUAGGAGCUAUGUGAGAUAUCAGUUCUUUUCUCACUAGUUGGACUCCAUUCCUGUAUGCACUAGAUCAUACGUACCAUAUAUUCUUAUUCCUAUUAUUAUAUUAUAUGUUUAUUAUAUUUGGUGUUAGUAUAGUAUAUGCUAGUGUAGAUGCACUACAUCGUACCCAGAGUUUCAAGAUGGAAUAAGCGAGUAAAGACCAAUAGUAUAGUAAUGAGUUGGCGUAACUAUCAUUGCUGAACCCACCAACAAAGCCCUAAAUAAGAAGUUCCUCUUCAACACCCGGUUCAUUCUUCUACUUACUGGUUUAAGCCUUAAGUAUGCAUAUUAAGAAGCAGUGAUAGAUGCCUACAUACCUAUAGUAGUACCUCAGAGAAUCAAUCUCACUAGCAUCAAUCUGCAAUAUCACUAGCAUCAAUCUGCCUAGCGCUGGUAUCAGGCUUACUACCUAACAGAUCAGUCUGAGUAGCUUCCAACCCGCCCCAUACUAGCUACCCCUGCUUGCAUUCUGCCACUCCCUAGGUUGAUUCUUUGACUACUGAGUUGCCCUAGAUGCUGAUACUGACUAGUGGAAUUCCUAGCAAACAAAGUACCUUCUUCUAACUCUCCUCUUGUACCUACUAAUACAGGAUGAAACUACUGAGCUGCUUUCUCAUCUCCUAUAGAAUACGAAUACCUCUGGCUCACUUUCAUUCUUACUGGAUAGUUUCUUUCUUAUAGUUAUUAGUGGAAUUCCUCUACUUACUAGUUCAAUGUACUAGAUGCGACAGAUGGGUCAUAGUCACUGGAUUCACUUUCCUCUACUCUGGCUAACCUUACCUGGCAGACUGGAAUUAUUCCUUUAACUACUUAGUUGCCGGCUACCUGGUAUUCCAAUAAGAAUAACAGACCUCAAGAACAGCAUAUCAUCUAUAAUACCCUGGCUGGCACUCGACCUCUACAUUCCUUCCCACGCCUUAACCCUACUUGAGAACGGGAACUAGACUCAAAUCUUACUGCUUACAUAAACUCUAGUCGUUCCUUGGCUGAUAGCAAAUAGUAGAUUGCCUCAACUCGUCAACUGGGGAUGAAAACCUAGCUAAAGAAGGGAAUGAAACUCACAAGUGGGAAAGUGAGAGACAAGCCUGUACAAGAGGAAGCAGUUAGUUUACCAAUUUCUAUCAGUGAUGCGGGGUUACAAAACUCCAUCUCAUCUAACACCCAGCUACUAGAGCAACAAAUAAAGGAUAUACUCAAAAGCUAAAGCUCAACAUCAAAAGAGCACACAAACGAAAAGUCAUCUUAUCCUAUCCUUCCUUAGUAGGCACUAUAACGCUAUGAAAGCUAUCUUCCGAAGAUCUAAGAAUCAGAAAAGAUAUAGAGAGCAACCUUCACGUUAAGAAGAAUUUUGGACUUGAAUAAGAACCAAUGGCCUAAUGAAUAUCACUUCGAUCUGUUAAUGGAAAAACACCUUCUUAUCGACUGGGGUUUGCUUGUAAUCUUAUCUUUAAGAGGCCAAUCAAGACCAAGCUGCUACUAAAGUAUUGAAAACCUAGUACACAAAAAACACUCAUCUUCGAAAUGCUUAAGAGUGUUCUAAACAUUGAUUUCGCUAGUGCUAGAAGGAAUGAUUUUACGGGGGCACACGAUCACUAUGAUCUUUGUUUGAUUAAUUUGCUAUUGCUGAUGAUAGUGAGCUAGGGGAAAAUAUAUAUCACUUUAUUAAGGAUGACUGAUCAAACUAGGGAUGAAACUAACAACUACUGGGCUAUCCGACUCCCAUUCCCCGGAUUCAGUUUACUACACCCCGGAUUCCGUUUCUUCCGAUCUAGCUUAGCUUCAGUUGAUUCUACCCGGCCAGGACUUGAUUCUCUUCUGGCCAACUCAGUUACCAAAACCCCUUGAAACCAACACCGAUGCUAUGUCUUCCAAUUCCAUGAAAUUCUUAUAUUUAUUGCUCUAGUACAUUAGUAGUCGUUUGCCCCUCUCUGUAAAGGAGAUACCUCUCAGUAAGGGCACAAACAGGAUUAGUUGUUGAUUGGCCCCUGGUAGAUAAAGUAGUCGCGAACACAAGACUUCACAAUUACUUUCUUUGUUGCCAGAGUUCGGGAAGUAGAGAAUAGUUGCUAGUAGGCCGAGAAAGAGCACCACUAGGCUAGUUACCCAUAUCUAUUAGACCCCAGCUAAGGAUUAUGGUUCCCCCGCUGUCAGUAAAUUCUGACUUCACUACUUUCGAUAAAGAGCAACCAAGCAAACCUUUGCAACGUAGCCGAGAGGACAAGCUGUAAUAAUUGAACUCAUUAGAAACCCAUAGUCAACUCCCUUACUUUAUGGCAGCUUCUUAUCGUUCUUGGCAUUCGGCUUCUUUUCGUGUUAAAGUAGAAAACGGAAUACUAAAUUAGCCCAUAUGCCUGCUUGGUCCCUACUAUAUUAUAUAUUAUCUUAUAUUAGGAUUACAUUGCAGGUAGGGAGUGACUCAAGUGAACUUCUUUUGCCAUAGGUAUAGAGUUAUCAGAGUUUAAGACCUGCCCCUUAUUCUUAUUUGUUGAAAGAGCCCAGGUAGCCAUAGGUAUUGUAGCAAGAAACACAGGAGCCUAAGCCUAAAGUGGGAAAGUGAGAAUUCCACUCAGUAUACAGGACCCGCUCCUGCCGCCCGAGCAAAGCACUUGUGGAGACUUUCCUUUGACUGUAUGAACUGAAGUGCUUACGGAAGUUAGCCCGUUAGCUUUGGGGAGUAAAGGAAUCAAGUACUUAAGGGCUUUUGGGAUCCCUCCUUUAUUAGUAUGAAAGUAUAAGACCUGAUGGAUAGUUUCAUCCCGAGUUUCAUGUAGUACUGCUUCUGUUCUUGUUUAAUACCGAGAGGGAGAGUUGAAUACCUAGUGGAGUCUUCCGUUUAAAAGUAUGGGUCUGGUUCUGGUUCUUGUUGCAUCCCGGUAGUUGUAGUCCCAGUAGUUAGUAGUCCUGUUCGAGUGAUAGUGGAAUCCCCUGUUCUUGUUUAACCCCGGUAGUCCCGGUAGUCCUGCUCCAGUUCUGGUUCUUGCAAAGACAGAUUCAAGUCAAACACCCGAGACUCUCCUUUCUUUGCCUUUGUAGUAGUUGGUAGUAGUGGCAGGGCGUCUAGGAAAGGUUUACUUGUUAUAAGCAAUGAGAAAUAUUACACUUGGAUCUUUCGAGCAGUAGGGCUAGUUCAGUCUAGACCGAUAACUUGACUUGCUUCUUUUAGAACUAUGGAUUGCCCCUCUUUGCCUUUGUCUACUCACUACGCAGCUUGUUCCAAUGUUACUAAUUGAUGUACUUGUUUGGUCAGGUUCUUAAAGGCCAGAGUGCUAGGUAGGUUCGGGUGCUUGUGCUGCGGUAAGUGAAUGCCCAGUUACAGGUUACAGUGGAGAAUUACCUGCCCCAGUGCCAGUUAGAGGAAGAGCCUGUAGUUGUAGAGUGAACUCCCCAGUUCCUGUGAGAAAGUAUGGUUAUGAGUGGUAGGCCAAGUAGUGCUGUUAAGGAGGUAGGCGAGGUAAGCAGUGAAGUAAGAAGUAGAGGCUAGAGUGACUAUAGGUAGAUGAGCCUGAGUUAGCUGAGCUAUAUGUAUAGGAGCCGAAUGAAGUUAAUAGUUCCGAUGGCAAGGAAGCACUAUAGGGAGCAAGAGGCUAGGCUAGUGGUGGAUAACCAUAAGUAGGAUCGAUCGGGAUCUUCAGCUGUAUCAAAGGAACUGGAGAGGAAUAAGUGAAGUCGACGAUAAGUAUUACCGGCAGGGUUUAUAGGACUAUCUUACUUGCGCUGAAUCACGGUUCUAAAUAGAAUAGCAAGUGACAGGUCGAGUCAGGUGUUGUCGGUUCUUAACUGAAAGGCUCGUUUUCGUCUUCAAGUGUAGUUCCAGAGCAUUCUUUCUCUUGACACUUAUGUUAGUACUGAACUGAGUCUUUCCUAGUAGCUCGUCCGCCUGUCGGGCUAGAAAUGGAACUGCAAGUCAAGAGUCCGUAUGCGCUGAGUUAUUACAAUUCCCGUUUUCUGGCACCUUCCUUGUCUGCGAGAGAGCACUUGAAAGCUAGGUUCCGGUCAGGUAAGAUGAAUAAGAUAUAUUCUGGACAAUCAAUCAUAGGUGUUAUAUAAAUAGUUGCCAGCUGCAAUCAGGCCCUUAUAGUAAGCUCUUGUUUGUGGAGUGAGAGUUGAAGAAGUUCUCCUAUAUAAAGAGAAGAGCCGAGUCACUACCAGAGGAUUUACCACAACCCAAAAGUGAGCCGGGUGAGGUAGCUCGUUGUCUGCAAGGGAAGAAAGGAUCUAACUUAGUUGACUUUCACCGAUUAGAUUAUAGCUGACUUACCCAAUGACUUAUGGGCACAUGACUCGCUUCUAUUUCCACUUUCUAUCCAUCUUGACUUACGAAAUCCUACUGAUCAUGCGAGAAACCUACUGAUCUUCCGAUAGCUUUUAGGGGCGCUGAGACAUCUAGAUACAGGACUUGCUCAUAACUCCCUAAUGGUCGUUAUUCGUUGCUGCCGCGCAACGUUAGUAGUUGCUUGGCCGGAUGUUACGAAUUAUCGGUACGCUUUUGGGAUGAUAUUACAAGGGUUGUUCGGAUGCUUGUGUUAAGCAAUGAGGAAAAGAUAUAAUAGUGGACCUGAGUCAAUCGAGAACCGAACACCUUCCGCUACACUUACUAUGUUACUUGGCCCCUACUGAAUUCUAUCUUACUUAUAUAAGAGAACAGAAGUUGGCCCCCGCUUCUUAUAUAGCUAUGUACCAGACUCAAACUAGUGGUACUAAGACUUAAUACAGUAACAACAAGACUGAGGCCCCGAUACACAAGAUCAGAAUGCAACUCAGUAGUCAAAGAACCAAUCCACUAACAGCCAGAACGGGGGCACCAACUAGCAGACUGACACUCAUCAGGCAGAGGCUCAAACCGGGACGAAACAGACUUGAUGGUAGCAUAGUUAGAAUGGAAGCAGUGCCACUGAGAACCAAACCCCGGAGUGCAAGAAUGAGCUACCGUCCGCUCAGACUUAAGCGAGUGCCGGUUAUAUUAAGUUCUGAAGCUAGGUAUACUCGGAAUGAAGCUAAGGGAGCUGGGGAAUGGAGCUAACCCUUAUUAUAAUUCACUCAUAACCAAACCAUCCUAUUGAUUGAUGAGGGGAGAUGAAGGGACUAGACCAGGAACAUACGUAGCUGCAUCGAAGGACCAAGUCAUAGCCAAAUGCCCACCCCAUGGCUUAUGAGGUAGAUUCAUCUGGUCGGAGGACUAGCCAAUCAUGUGUGUGGGGCCAGGUUCUUUAAGCAUAGGCUGUAGAGCGCUAUAUCACACCAAAGGAGACCUUUUUUUGACCCACCUGCUCCAUCUAUAGUUCCUUUUCCCGGAUAAGAGUCUAACAUAGCUAUAUAUAACCUUUGUAGGCUUGCCUGAUAGCCAAUAGUAGCCGGACCGGUAAGUCAACUCAAUUCUUAGAGUAGGGAGCACAGGGUUCCAUGAAUUGGAGUUCACAGAGCCGAGGUUCAGUAGAAAGUGAAGUUUAGAGUUGAUAGUUGCAUUCUGUGUUUCAUCUGUCUUUGUUGCGAGUAGUUGCUAGUUGGCAUUUCAGAAUCAAACAAGUCAGUAGAAGACUUUGAAGCGGGGUGAGUUAGGUCAUAGAGAUAAGAGGGUUCCGUCGUAAGCUGCUAGUGCUGCAAGUGGGAAGGAAAUCAGACUUGGAUAAUGGGGGGUGUUGGCUAGUUUCUUGUUGAAGGGAGAGAGAUUCUUUUGUUUCCGUUUAAGGAGUUGAUUCAAUCAGGCACUAAUAAAGAGAGAUACAAUAUAAGAAAACUACCCAAGGAGAUUGAGGGUAANNNNNNNNNNNNNNNNNNNNGUGAAAGAAUUCAAACCAAUUCCCUGAUCCUAGGUACUAGAUCAGAAUUUCACAUAGUUCUAGUAGCUAGAGGAUAGGUUGAAGUUCAUGUGUUAAGCAAAGAACAAAUCCAUAUCCUUUUUUGUUGGGUUUAAGCAGGACUUGGUUCUAACUGAGUUAUAAUACAUCUAUGUUGUUGUUCCUGCCGCUACACUUACGUAGUUACUUGGCGAGUGGAUAAUUCUAUCUGUUAUUAUUAAGGAUGACUGAUCAAACUAGGGAUGAAACCAGUGCAUCUCGGCCUGAUGCGUGCCCCUACUCUGCUAGGUAUUGGUAUGUAGGAAGUGAGAAUGCAACCACUGCAUCUAAGAACCAAAUAGGGAAGAAACAGACUGAACCAAGGAAGGGCAAGGCUGCACCAAGUAUGCAACAAACAAGACUGAAAGCAGUAACAACAAGACUGAUACCAGUGAGAAACAGGUUGAAACACUGCACAAACAGACUGAGAGUAGGGCGAGCAAGCCUACAACCAGUGCUUCUAAGCCUGAUGCCGCUGCCACUGAUGCUAUAGGUAUUGGUACUCAGAUUGAUGCUCUGUAGCUGGGGUCUCUGUUUCAAGAAAGACUGAUGCUGAGGAGUUAGAGAGUGGAGCUGAUCGGUAUGGGUAUUGAGCUAGUAAGCCUGAUGCCAGUGUUGCUAGGUAUGUAGCUUCAGGGUAGUGGUAAAUUACUAUAAGGUCUGGUGAUUGUUUUAGAGUAUCUUUCUGUUCUUGUGUCGGUUCGGGGUUCACACUUAUGAGAGGUCUAGUCGGGUGCCUGAUUGAAGUCUUGUUCCAGUCAUCAAGUACAGAAGCUAGCCCUGAAGUAAAUGGUGUGAGUGUCAGACCAGUUAGUAGAUCCCUUAUUCUGAGUUUAGUAUCUGAUUUGUAUAUCCCUUAUUAGUAGAUCCCUUAUUCUCAAUCGUAAUAGUAGAUAGGUCGGGCCAUUAUAGUAAGUCGGUAGUAGAUAAGAGACAGAGGAGUGGGAAAGCUGUUUAGUUUGAGUUCAAAGAGCCGGAGUGAGAUUAGAUGAGAGCCUAGCCUGAGCAGAGGUCGAGUCAACCACUUGAUCCUCUCUAUUUGCUAUCCGCCAAGUCACAUAGAAUGUUAUGCGGCAGUCCGGGAACCGGGAACGGGCACUGCUCUAUUAGAAUUUCAAUAAAUAGCUUCCCGAGCCUACCCAUCCAAAAGUGCUUUCUGAGACAAUAAAUCUUCUAGAAAGAAAUGCAUUUGAUUGCCCCUCAUGGGGUGGCCAAUGUCAUAUUUGCUAUCCAACUUAUCAAGAUAUGUUUUAGUGCAUUUUCAGCCCUCUUCUUGGGGGGUUGGAAAUGGAGAACAUGUAUGGUAAGAACGAGUCCCGUGUUCGUCUAGCGCAUCUAUGAAUUAGUUGACUCUUGCUAGCAUAGUUGAAAGAUCAUCAGCCGUUUAAAAGGAAGCAGCAUAAGCAAUUCGAGUUGGGGAAAUGUCUUAUUCUUUUUCUUUGUUUUCCUCUGCGCGAUCAGUAUUUGUUGACAGAGGGGAAGCUUUGAAGCUAUAAGUCAAGAAGUCAAGAAUCCAACUAAGUAGUCAAAGAAGUGGAGUGGUAAAGUGUAAUCUGUAUUAGUAGCCCGAGUUGGAUAAGCCGGGAGUGAUAGUACCAGUAGUUGGCGAUAGGGGAGUUCCCUAGUCUAGUAAGUAUAAGUAACAGCAUGUAACUGGUGAAGUCAAGAAUCCAGCUAAGUAGACUCAGAGGUGAGCUAGUAGGAAAGGAAGUAGAGAAGCCCUUAUAGUAAGUUGCCCUUAUAGUAAUUGCCAAGCAUCGUAGUCAGUUAAGGGAGUUUGGCGAGGCUAUAGUAUGGGUAGGUAGCCAAGAUAACUAGUGGAUCUCGGUGUUGGCAAUGUCGUUUGUCUUGUUGGUUCAUAAAGGAGAGUUCGAAUAUUGGCAAUGUCGUUUGUCUUGCUUGUGUCUAAGGAAGUUUCAAGUCCAGCUCGAAUAGAAGAUAAGUCUCAAGAACAAGCUAUGGAACAAACAAGGUCUUUUCGAAAGAAAGGAAGGGCGAGCUGUUUACGCAUAUUCCAAGUUUGGCUUUGACAAGAACACUUUCCGGAGUAGAGAUAGGUUCUUAUGUCGAUUGGAAAUCCAAAAGUGUAGUUUUUGUUGAAAGAUAAGAAUCCGCAGUAGGUCUUAUAGUUCCAGUUCCAUUUUCAUCGUAUCAAUUGUUUGCGAGUUAAGUCGUAUCAAGCAAGACAACAAUCAGAAUGCGACGCCCACUAUGCUGAACUAGUUGAAACGUAUUGUAUUAGCCUCCACCUACACUUACCCACGGAGCGAUUAAGGGAAUCAGAAAGUAUUGAUUGAUUGGCCGGAGUCAGCUGCAAGUAAAGACAAGAGCCGGGUCAGCUGCAAGUAAAGACAAGAGCCGGGUCAGCUGCAAGUAAAGAAGCUAGUAGGCGAGUUGUUCAUAAGUAGAAGGCCGCUUCUGUUGUUCAUAAGUAGAAGACCGCUUCUAAGUAGAUUAAUGAAAUACCCCAAGAGCUGUGGCAGUUUUAGUAACAUUGGAAGCAUACUUGUUUAAGUCACACCUAUUUUGAGUCACAGCAGGAAGAUGAAACAUCCGAAUCUCUAACUAGGUUCAUUCUUAUACUCAAGAGUUCAAUUCAUUCCAGGCGGGGAGAGGUGAAGGAUAUUGACUUCUUCUAUCUUACCUAGCGUGGGGAGCAAGACUUAUUCCAUUGAUACACUGCCUCUUAUCCAGUUGCUUCUCUGGAAACUUAGGAUUCUCUUUCUUACCUUGUUGACCUAUCCUCUGCCUAUGAAAUAAGUCACAAAAGAAAAAUAAGUGAAGAUUCCCCCGCUAUAGAUCCCAAUCCAGAUUAGUAACAUAAAUGAGUCACACCGGAAGUAGUUCUACCAGAAUUAUACUUAUCAACUUACCUAUAACAACCAAACCUAAACUCCUUAUGAGCGAGUAAAUCUUUUAUCCUAACACUGCCUCCACUGCCUCUGCUUUAGUUUCAUUCUUAUUAGUUGCCCACAGGAGUGAGAUUUGAGUCUAGUUCCCUAUCUAAAGUAAGGUAAGGCACUGGUAAGAGGUAAGCUUCACUUGAGAGUUGAGGUCAGCAAGAGUUAGAGUUAGCCCUUCUUAUUGUAAGUUUCGGCUAGGGAAGCAGUUAGAAUAGAAGUAGGUGUACCAACAAAGUCAGAAAGAAACUAGUUAGUAUAAGCCUGAAACACCGGUGCAGGAAGUCAGAAUUGAAGAAUUAGCUCCUGUAUGGGUAUUGCUGGUAUAACACUUAGAAUUGAACUAAGGAGCCGGGUGCUCUAUAGUCAGAAUGAAACUCAGAAGUCAGAGAAAGUUCGAAUUUCACUUUAGGGUCAUAAACAUAAGAAUUAGCCCUGUGUGAAAGGCAACACCGAGUAUACGGACUCUCUUGUGGGGCGAGUUUAGUCUAGGUUCCUUGUGAGCGAGAACUUACAAUAAGGGCCUUAUUUACCCAUAUCAAUUCUAUAUUUAUUCCAUUUAGACUUAUUUUAGGAGUGAACAGUAAGUACUGUUUUCGCCAUUCUAAAUCCCUACUGGAGGGUUUCCGUUCUUACUUUAUAUUCCUACUAACUCCCGCUUCUAUCAUAUCAUACCUCAACAGCAGAGCAGAUGAUCUCGGCGCAAAGACGGAUGAAACCUAUUACCUCAUUUCUAGUCACUAUUUGAAAGCGACGUUCUUGUGCUCGUUAAGUAUAGUAGUAGCUUGGUACCUAACCUGAUCUUUCAACUUCUUCUUGCAGAUGAUCUUGUAACUAAAGAUUCAAUAGUCUCCUUUCCAAGCACAGCAUUAGCUUCAGCAGAUGAGCAUUCGGCUUCUUCAACUACUCCCGUCUCUUUACUUUACUUAGUCUUGAUCCGAGUCAACUAAUACUCCAUUUCCAUUUCCAUCUCUUGCCUCGAGGUCAAAGUUGAUAGUUUCAAGUCCAGUAUCAAGUGUAGUUCCAGAAGAAGACGCAUAAGAAUUGCCUGGUCCUCUUACUGUGAGAGUAGAAUCUGUUGGUGUAGGCAGUUAAACAAGUCGAGGUCAGGGCAAAAGGGAAGCAGUAUGGAGUAUAAGAUACUGAUAAGGUUACCCAAUUAUAUACAGGAGCUAAAAGGAUUCAAUAAGGUAAGGAAGGCGCUAUCUUCUAUUCUUUCGAGUGGAGUUGUGCCUCUCUUCAGGGUGCCUCUCUUCAAUGGUUGCGAGAACAAGCAAACAAGAGAAUAUCUAAGUCUGCUUACUCUACAAGCAAGGGAAGAAAGAGCGUAAAAAAGCCUAAAUGCCGUGAGCUCCGUUGUGCGUGUGUUAGGAGUGAGCGAUCAGUAUGGACUAAUAGCCUUUACCGAGAGGAAGCUAGAUAAGGUGCAGUUUGAGGCAAUGAGUAGAGAGGGGAUUAGCCCCCAAAAGCCAGGGCCAAAUACACUAUAGGGUGAAACGCCUUAACCGCGAAAUCAAUCAAAUCAGAGGGCAAGUGGUUCGGUUUAAGUGGAAAGCUCAGUUCUAAAGUCAAUCCUAGUUUGCAACUCCAGAAUAUGAAUAAGAAUCCUAAGGUAAAGAAUCCGUUCGAUAUCUGGGUAUUGUCGGUUCAUAACUUCAAGUAAAGGUUAGGCCCUUAUAGUAAGUUGUUCCUAUUGCCUAUCAAAUCAAUCUAUUGGGGGUAGUUCUGAGUAAGCCCACAGAGUAAGCCCGAAGGAAGUUACUAGUGUUGAGUAAGCCCAGAAGAAGAAGGAAGCUAAGCUAUAAGUACUUCAGUAAAGAAUGCAACAGGAGCCUAGCCAGUAGUGGUAGAGAGGGUAGUUUAGAGUAGCGAGCAGGGCUCGUGAAGAAAGUAUGGUGAGAAGAGGUCGGGUCUCAUAAGAAAGAAAGAAGAUCACUUUAUUAGUUGACAGAGAAGAAUAUGGAUGGAUCUAGCACAUCUGGUAGAACAUUAAGAAUGAAACCAACUAGCUAAAGAGUGGAGCUAGUAAGGGUGUCUGGUCAGAAAGGGCAGUUUCAAGGGGAGUUUCAUCUGUCUGGGUGUUUGAAAGGGGAGUUGAACCCUUACUUAUUAAGGCUGCUUGCCCACUGGCUAUGUGUUUGUGGAGACAGAGGACAGGUCUAGUAUAGAGGUUCACUCAUAGGUCAGAGCCAAGACACCAAUAUUGGAAUCAAAUAAAAGAAAUUAUCAAAUUAGAAAAUAGGAAAAUAUGUGAAAAACUACUUCAAUUAGUUGGGCUCUGAUCACUACUAUUUCCCUCCUAAAUUCAGUAUAUCUCUAUAUAUAGGUGAACGGAUGCAACAAGAACUGAGGCAUUCUAUCUAUAGCACCCGGGUUUUGGUGAAGUGGAAUGAUCUGGUUCACUUACUUGCUUGUUAGGAUGGGUAUGCUAGUUGCCAGCUGCUGGGAUUGUUGACUUACUUGCUAGUUAGGGUCGGGUGCCAGAGGUAAGCUUCACUGAGAGGAUAGGUCAGCUUCACUUAGAGUUUAGGUCGGGUGUCAGGUAUUGUAUUAUAGAUGAUAGGCAGUUGCCUAGGAGCCUCAUUCAGUUAGAUGAGAGAAAAGAUCUUCAAGCAAGUAACCAUAAAGCAGGGAACAACCAUCAAGAUUAGAGGCAUAAAGAAACAAACAUAAUGUAUUAAUUGGUUGCUAUGCACGAGUGCUGUCUUCGGGGACUGAUGCCUAGUGGUAUUGAUUCUCUGAGGUACUACUAUGGGUAGCUAAGGUCUAAUAGCUAGUAAGUCCACCGAUGCUAGUGCUAGGUAGUAAGUAGUCACAGAAUAAGAAGGGAGCUACCUAAACUCGGACUGACACAAAGCAGACUCAGAGUGAAUCCAGGGAGUCCAAGAAUGCAACUAUUGGUGCUCAGCCUUAAAGCCAGUAGCUACAUUCCCACCGAUUGCCAGAUGUCCUAGUAGAACUAAGCCUAGGAAUACGGAAUUUCAGAAUGAACCUAAGCAGACUCGGAAUGGAUACCUAACAUGGGGUUUCAGAAUGCAACCAGUGCUAACAAGAAUGAAAGUAAUAGGUCAAAGAGUGGAGCUAGCAAGGCAUAGGAUGGAACGAGUGAGGGCAAGAAUGACACUAAGUAGGCUCAGAAUGCAACCCAUACCACUGAGACUUCAACCGGAGCUUCCAAGCCUGACAUCGGUGCUGGGCAGACUGUUGCUAUUGGUAUUGAUUCUCUGAUGAGCUAGUAUGGGUGUAUGUCGCUAAGGUCUCUAUUCCUCUUCUUACCUUUCCCACCGAUUCCCCGCAUCUAGUUAAAGAAUCAAACUAGCUACUAGCAACUACAGGAAUAAGACUAAAACCACUGCAUCCAAGGCUGAUACUACUCCUACUAAGAAUGGAGCUGACCAAUCCGAGGCUCCAAUCAGUGCUAACAAGAAUCAGCCUAGUGCAUCUAAGCCUGCAGCUGGGUAUACUCGGCCUUGCUCUUGGGUGUUACAGGCUAUCCGGUCCAGGUCACAGAACGAAACAAGGUAGUCCAAGGCUGAUACCGGUACCACUGAGACUUUCACCACUGCAUCUUAGACUUAAACGAGUGCUAGGCAGACUUGACCGAGGUAGUGAUAGAACCAAACCAGUGUCACUCAGGAUCAAACCAAUGCUAACCAGACUGAUGCUAUUAGUUACAGAAUGGAGCUCCCUAAGAUCAGACUCAACCAAGUGAGUUACAGACUGAGCCGAGUGAGUCACAGAAUGAGGCUAUUGGGUGUAAGCCUGAUACUGGGUAGUUACAGACUAAACCAAGGGCGAGCAAGACUUCAACCUAAACUUCCAAGCCAGCUACUGGUGCUGACAAGACUCCAACCAGUGCCACUGCCAGCAAGACUUAUGGUAGGUAGUUACAGGCUUCAACCCGAUAGUCAAAGAACCAAACCAGUGUCACUCAGGAUCAACCCGGUAGCUAAGGUCUCUACCCAGUGAGACAGAGGCCAAGCACUAACAACAAGGCUUCACCUACUAACUAGCAGAAUCAAACUCACACCGAGCAGACUGAUGCGGUGCCUACUAUUCCCUUACUUGCCCACCGAUUCCCUGAGUAUUCAUUAAGUGGGGCUAUUUGCGGUAAGCUAAUCUAUGGUAUGUACUAGAUUCAGAAUCAAACUCAGUAGACUCAGACUGUGCCCCAGCAGUGAAAGAAUCAAACUCACUAGCUACAUUAUUGAACCGGGGAGUCCAAGAAUAAGAAAGGUAUCGGUGAGCUAGGCAGCCAGUAGUGAGUAACAGAACGGAGCUGACGAAACUCAGAAUGAACCGGGUACCAACCAGAAUGAAUAUAGUUGUCGACUUGUCCGUUAGUUGUGAUGUGACUUGGCCCUUUUAAAGAUGCUUGCUAUGCGAGUGAUAGUCUUCAGCCCUCUAUUAAGUCGGGGGAGAGUUGCUAUAGUUGAAUGAGUUGUCGAUGUAGUCCUGUUUUCGGGAGAUAGAGAAGAUACUUUGCCCGGAAAGGAGGGUAGUAAGGCUGGCUGUUGCAAGACUAGAGGUCGGGUCGGGCACUUAUGAGAGGCCCUUAUUGUAAGUUGUUCCUAUUGCCUAUCAAACAUGCCCAUAAAACACAUGCCCGAGCCUUGUUUCUAUUGAUAGGAAAACAGAAGGAGGGGCUUGCCGCGUAACUUACAUAGUUCCUUGGCCGGUAUUCCACUUGGGAUGAAGACUAGAUAACUCGCGAACAGGGGCAGGCUUGAAGCACCUUACUUUCUUGCUUGUUCGGAUGGGACCUUACUUUCUUGCUUGUUAGGAUGGGUAUGAUAGUCGCCUGCUGCUUGGCAGUUGUUAUUCUGACAGUUUCGUUUGAUGCCUUGGCCCUUAGUGCCUUGGCUAGUUGUCUGCUCGUCUCUUCCUUUCGGGAUUCUAUUUCCAUUAACAUCUACUAUCCCAAUAAGAAGAAAAGAGAGUACUGGCUAGGUAGAAUCAACAGAAGAUUUGUGGUUGCUUGCCCUUACUUAUUAAGUCGGAAGAAACAGACUCAUUAGCCAGAGGGUUAUCGGUUAGUAUUGACUGGCAAGCUCGGUCCUCUUAGCAAGACUCAGUGUUAACGUGAGCAGCUUGAUUUCAUUCUUCUUCACUUGUGAAGGGCUUGAUUUCAUUCUUCUUCACUUGAAGGGAUAGUUCGGGUCGGGUGUGUGGGUGCGGUUGAGAGGAUUCCUCCCUUACUUGGACUUGGCACAUAAUAAAGAAGAAUUAGUAUACUGAAUAGAAUCAGUAAUAGGGCCAUAAUAAAUAAUUGCCAGCGGAUUCUAUGAAUAAGUAUAUGCAUAGUUAUAAGGCCAUAAUACAUAGGCUAGUGAGGAAGCAAUGCCAAAGUAAGCAGCAAUAGAAAGGAAGCACUCAGCAAUAGAGAGGAAGUAAGCAGCAAUACGUUCUUCAGGACCAAAAGCGGGAGAAGAAGCAUCAGAGGGUUGUCUUAGAACGGUUCGAGACCAUGCUUUGAGUAGAGUUUAUAGGAUGGAGCUAGAGCUAGGGAUGAUAGAAACAAGUAAAUAGCUUUGCUUUCCUGGUACAGUAUCUUUAGGUUCCGAGUGUGAUCCAUUAGUUAGGAAAACCGCCAAGUUACUACUAAACAAGCAACUGUGUCAAAAGAGUCUUUAAGGUCAGAGGGGCAGUGAAUAAGUCUGUAGCGGAAUUGCCAGUGACUCGGGUAGGCAGGUUUACUUAUUCAUUUAGUUGAGAUGCUCUAGUCCAUAGGAGAGAGAAAAGAUCUUCGUUCACCAAAUCACCAAAACCAGAGGUGGAGGAGCAAUCCAAUACCUAGUUCUUAAAGAAGCAAGUCAGCGCGGAAGGCAGAAUACCCCUUUUGCUAAGUAGAAGACCGGUAGUAGCAGAGUGGAAGACCUGCUCGUUAAGUCUCGUGUUGUUGGCAAAGGAAGGGGAAUCCUCCAGAAUUAUUGUUCCCCGCCUAGGUAUAUCAGUGGAAAUGCAAUUCUUGACUAUACUUCUACUAGAUGCAGAGUAGAAGCCCGUUAGUAGUAGCGAGGGUUGUUGCUCUAGCUCACUCCGGGCAAAGAACCAAAGAACAGGAACAGGAAGGUCAAAACCGGAAUACUUAAUGAAAUGAAACUACUACCGCAGGCCAAGAAAAGAAAGUGAGUUGUUGCUUUCAAAAGAAAAGAGCUAGAUUCUCUUCGGCUUCGGCUGUAUAAGAUGAACCAAGUAAAGCUUCCGAUGAAACUAAUUCCCUUAGAGCAAAAAGAAAGAAGGAAUAUAUGAUUUUGGACCUUAACUUGACUAUCUGAUUGCCCUCACUCUACUUGAAACAGUUUAUUCUCUUUGUAACAUUCCUCGACAAUCACCUCUUUCCACUCAUUCACUAAGCGCUACAUAAGGAAUUGAUUCUUUUACUUGGGCGUACGUAGUUGCUUGACGGGUCGGACUACUCUAUUACUAUACUUUGAGGGGCUGUAAACCAUGGCUAUCUGAGUUUCUCAAUUCCUAAACUGGAACUAACUAUUCUUUAGUUCGCUACCGGGUAACUCCAUUCUUAAAGGAAGCAUCACUAGGUUCAGAGUCAAGAACAGGCGAGGUCUAAUUGAACUAAUUUACUUACCACACCUGGGUUUAGUGAUAGGGAAGGCUCUGGAAAAACACUUAUUGAACCGCGCAGAGUAUAGAUAUAGAUUAGAUUACUUCUUUUUAUGAUGACACUCAGUAUUCAACACGAGCACACCCGAACUUGGACAACACCGGCACAGCGGAUUCUCUCUACCCCUCAGCCUCACCUUUUGUUUGUCUCUGCCUCUGCCUUAGCUUCACCUUUAUUUCAUGCUUGGACUAGACCCGAACACAGGACUCAAAAGAAGGAGUGCAAGAAUGAAAACAAUAACUAUCAGGCUUGGACUCCCCGGUUGCAUUCUAUCACUUAGCAGCUCCAUUCUAAACACCCUAGCCUGGCAUCCAAUACUAGCUACCACUGAUUUGAGUCUUAGUACCACUGUUUGAAGUCUGCUCCCACGGGGGCCAACUUCCAUUCUGAUAGGUGUGAGUUUGAUUCUUAGUAAUAGUAGCGGGAGUCUUGCUAGCACUGGUUGAAGGUUGUCCAGCACCGGUUUGAUUCUUUGACUCCUUAGCAGCAGCCUGAGUAUACCCAGCAUCAAGCUUGGAGUUAGUGCUUUCAGGCUUACUGGGGCACUGUUGGAUUCUGAUCGGAUCUAGCUGAAGUCUGUUACUCCUUAGCUCCAUUCUUAGGUUAACCAGCUCCCGAACACAGGAUUAGAUGCACCGGUUGCAGGCUUGGAUGCACCGGCCUCAGUCUUAGCUGCAGUGUUUCAAGCCUGUUUCUCGCUGGGGUAAGUCUGAGAUGCACUAGUUUCGUUCUGCUUGUUAGUGGUUUGGGUCUUUAACUACUGGGGCUCAGUCUCGUUGGCACUGGGUUAAGGCUUAGAGUUAGUUGUUUAAGUCUGCCUAGCUCACCUCUGACACCAGAACAUAUGAGUAGUUAUCAGAGAAGAAGACCGGAUGGCUAGCUACACUCUUAAUCUGUUACUCACUAGUUCGAUUCUUUUACUUAUUGGUUGUAUUCCUUUUCUCAUUGGUUUGCUCCACUCUAGUAGUAGUGCAUUCUUGUUAACGGUAGGCUUUCAGCACCUUAUCAUAAGAACAAGUAGUAGAGGCACCAUCCCAAGUCUUAUUAACGGGUAGUUAAGCCAAUAUUUCUAGUUUCGCCUUCCUGUAGGAGUUUGCUUGCCCAUGGGUUAUUCUUUUUAUCGGUUGCUAGGAUACUGGUCUCCACUACAAGACCUAUAAGAACGGCUAUAUAGGCCCAAUAGUUUAAAUACAGAAUUCAGUGAAAGGUUAUAAGAAAGAAAAGUCUUAGUAUAAGUUGAAGAACGAAAGUGAGGGAUAUCAGCUUUGAAGCAAGGGGACAAAGGCGUAGUAAGUAAAGCAAGGUUCGGGGGCUGUAGUGACAGGCUAGGUUCCGAGCUAAGGAAUUAGAAGCUGCAUUGCAUUGGUGAAAGUCUGAGAAGCACUAUUUGCACUCAAAGUUUCUUAUUCAAUUGUGAAAAGGUGGGCUAGAUCUUACCCGAAGUUAUAUAGAAUGCUAUAAGGUAUAGUCAGAAUGAGGUAUAGGAUAGUCAGAAUGAGAUACUUCCAGGCGAGAGCGUAUAGUAGUACUCGGUUGCCAAAGCAAAGGUAUUAGGGGUUUUUUCAUGAUCUUAAGCUGUAGAAAGUAUAGUAAGUCAGUUUCAAGUGCAAAAUCUAUUAGUAACGUUAGAGUGCAUUUGCUACUUAUAUCCUUAUUGGUAAAGGAAGAGACAAGUACUACCUUAUCUGCUAACAAGUCUAUAUAGUAAGGAACAGGGAAUGGUACUACGGACUUCAAAGAAGAAACAAGAGAAAUAGAACCAAACUAUUUACAAUGAACCUGCCUUGCCUUUGACUUUAAUGCAGAGUUGAACUAACAACAAGGUGCUUCAAGCCUACCAAGAAAAAGAAUCCAAAUGAAAACUAUAGUAUAGGCCUCUGUCCCACUGGGGACCUACAUCGGACUACCUUAAACCUUAUAGAAAGUAUUUAUCUACAGCCUAUGAGGCUCCUGCUCCCUUCCUGAACUUUCAAUACCCUGCCUUUCCGUCUUUGUUUCACCAGUGAGCCCUUCCACUACUAGCUUUUAGCCUUACUUGUGUUUGCCUCAACCUGAUUAUCCUGGCUAUCGUCCUUACUACCGUGAGUUUCAGUAUGCCUUUACUUCCUUAUAGGCUUACUUGCCCUCUCAGCAAGCUACCUAGAACUUACAUUAUUAAUAACCUGUCGAUCAGCCCCCAAGACCUAAAACACAGGCAAGUAACAACUAGACAAGCAACGGGACAAGCAAGCGGUAGCGAGUUCAAAGCAAAAGUGAGUUCCUCGUUGCGCGGCAGGAACCCCGGUAUUAUCUGCAGUGAAGCGAGUCUUAUCUCUUAGUUUCAGUUUGAUUAGUAUUAGUUCAAUCCCUGUUCAAUGGAGAAGUGGACUAGGUUUGCGCCGGGCAGUACCAUACUACUAACGUUCAAUGCAAACUACUUAAUUGAAUAAAGAAAAGAGAGAAUGUCAAAUAAUAAUAAUAAGAAUGAUGUUUACUGAACACCAGAACAAGAGCUCUUUGAUAGAGAAAAUAAACUACCUUUUUGAGACCAUGUUUCGCUAAUCAAAUACUCUCCCAUCCUUUAUAGGAAAACGAACUACUUAAUGGAAUCUAAUAAGAAAGUAGAUAAGUCAGAAUACCGGCUAGGGUGCAAAGAACGAUAUAAAGGAAAUCCAAAAUACAGCAAUUAGUAGAAGGCUAACAAGUGAACAUAGGAAUUCUUAUCGUGUGAGGGGCGGGCCUAAAUCUAAACAUAGGCAUUAAGGACAUAAGCUUAUAGAGUAGAAAGUAAGCCCCAGAGGCUGUAAAGACAGAAUUAGAUAAAGAAGAGUUAGCUUAG
RNAcentral lists this long non-coding RNA (21191 nucleotides) under Musa acuminata (dwarf banana). RNAcentral's name for it is "long non-coding RNA (MACU_LNC007751)". Lineage: Eukaryota; Viridiplantae; Streptophyta; Magnoliopsida; Zingiberales; Musaceae. The record is from RNAcentral.